This 253-nucleotide ribosomal RNA is filed under the name uncultured bacterium. RNAcentral's name for it is "partial 16S ribosomal RNA". It matches the Rfam family "Bacterial small subunit ribosomal RNA", at positions 524 to 776 of the family's 1533-position model. The record is from RNAcentral.
UACGUAGGGUGCGAGCGUUAAUCGGAAUUACUGGGCGUAAAGCGUGCGCAGGCGGUUUUGUAAGCCAGAUGUGAAAUCCCCGGGCUUAACCUGGGAAUGGCGUUUGGGACUGCAAGGCUUGAGUUUGGCAGAGGAGACUGGAAUUCCUGGUGUAGCAGUGAAAUGCGUAGAUAUCAGGAGGAAUACCGAUGGCGAAGGCAGGUCUCUGGGCUAGAACUGACGCUCAUGCACGAAAGCGUGGGGAGCAAACAGG